GUUCUGCGUUGGGAGAGAUUCCGAAUUCAACCUCUCAGCUGCCGCAACCGCCGCAGCUGCUGCAGACACCAGAACCACAUCAGCCACCGCAUCCACAUCAAACACAGGAUUACUACCCCUCCACACAUCAGCCACCUGAGCAUAUUAUUUCAACCAAUGAUCCCAAUGAACCAGUUAGCAAACCUAAUGGUGUUCAAGAUCUAGCUACCGAUGAAAUCAUUCCAGAGGAUUGUUUUCAUCCAGAUGAAUUUAUGUGUCUGCCGUUUGAUCCGUCACAAGAUUACUUGCUGCCGUCACCAAUGAACAUGGAACUGGGAGAUGUGUGCAUCCCAAUAACUGUAUUGGAUGCACUGAUGAGUUGCGAUCUCUAGAUAUAUGGAGAUUUAAACACUUUUCCCAUUAGGUUCUUGAUUUAUCAUUGUCGACCAGGAUUAGUAAUUAGUAUCCUGGAAGAAACAACAAACCCUACUUUUAGUGACUCUAAUCUACCAAGAGUCACAAGCACGAGUCUAAGAUAGCAACAGUAACAUAGAUUUAGUUGGUAUUAGUUACUCUAGAAUAGCUAGUGAACAAGAAGAUUUAGUUGUCAAAAACAGCAGUAUGGGACUUGUAAACCCCAAGAACUCUAGCAGAACUCUAGCAAGAGUACACCCUUAUCUGCAUUUCAGGAACCGUAGGCAUUAGAAACUUCUUUUCCUAGUUCUGGUGGAUAUGUCCAGGACAACCGAUGUAGGUUACCUAAGCCUAUUCUUGUCCUUUUUGGACGUUUUUAAGCAUUCCCUAGUUUUAGAAACUUCAAAGCGUGUGAGGUGAACCUGUUAGUUCAAAGUAACAGCAGCAAAACCAGUAUUUGAGAUUUCAACUGGAAAUCUUUCCUACAAGGAGUCUAGAUGAAGCAAAGAUGUCUCUCAGAAGCAGUUGUUUGGAGACCGCGACUCUCCUGUCAACAGAACUACAAAUAAUCCUCAGCAAAAUUGUCUGUUAAUAUUGUACUGUCUUCAUCAAAAGUCAUAUACCUCAACGAGAUCGUCUUCAAUCAUCAUUCAUUCGUGUCUAUCCACUGGAAGUUGCUCCGAGAAAAAUCCGACUGCAAAGCUGUAUCACAAGACAAGGUCAGGGAAGCUGCAGAGUUGCAUUGCUCUUCAUCGGCCCCGGAAGAAAACAAAAACCGAGUCUUUGAAGCAUACAGUUUUGAAGCAGGCAUCUAUAGGGUUCUUUCUUUGAAGCAUCUCCUUAAAACCACUUAUCAAGUGUCCCCGAUGGGGAAUGGUAUUGUUACUUCGAUACCAAGUUCUAGUUCUAGCCUCAUACUCAGGCUUUCGUUCCACAGUCGUUUAUUCUGGAAAUGGCGUUAUACAGGAUCUGCUGCAACAUGGCUGCUGGAGUCCCAAAUAUAUUACAAUAGCCAGACACUAAAUGGUGAUGUCCUGGUUGUUGGUAUUGAAAUUUGAGGUUCCAUCCCUAAUGGAGUAGCAAUUACAAUCAUUAUCAAAAUUUGAUGAUUAUGAUUGGUAUAAUCCGUUGAUAACCUUCAGAAUUAAACACCCAUCUUAUGUAAAUAUUGCUUUAAUUAAUUUCCCUGUAUCAUCUCAAGCACUAUUUGGAUGCGACUUUACCAGAAAUCAAAGAAGUUGCGUACUGUGAGGCCCCAUCAUCCGUCACUCCAUAGACAUCCGGCAAAGUCUAGCUCAUGACUAUAAAGAAGAGCUUAUUGGGAGGCAACCCAAGUUUUCCUAAUUUUCCUUUUGUUUUCGCUGUUUUUCAUUUUAUUUUUUUGUUGGAGUCAGCUUUAAUUUCUUUCAUGCUUUCAGGAAUAG
Pyrus x bretschneideri (Chinese white pear) is the source of this 1817-nucleotide long non-coding RNA. RefSeq lists it as uncharacterized. NCBI's taxonomy places the organism in Eukaryota, Viridiplantae, Streptophyta, Magnoliopsida, Rosales, Rosaceae. The record is from RefSeq and is a predicted model, not a curated record. The transcript is spliced from 3 exons.